This 348-nucleotide ribosomal RNA is filed under the name Salmonella enterica subsp. enterica serovar Gaminara. RNAcentral describes it as "bacterial LSU rRNA". It matches the Rfam family "Bacterial large subunit ribosomal RNA", at positions 1083 to 1348 of the family's 2925-position model. The record is from RNAcentral. Lineage: Bacteria; Pseudomonadati; Pseudomonadota; Gammaproteobacteria; Enterobacterales; Enterobacteriaceae.
GCCCAGACAGCCAGGAUGUUGGCUUAGAAGCAGCCAUCAUUUAAAGAAAGCGUAAUAGCUCACUGGUCGAGUCGGCCUGCGCGGAAGAUGUAACGGGGCUAAACCAUGCACCGAAGCUGCGGCAGCGGACGUAUCACUUAAAGCGAUUCAGCGGAUGACGAUUGACGGAGCGAAGCGACGUCAAAGCGUAUACAAAGUCGAGUCGGUUUAAGGAUACGUUCGUUGGGUAGGGGAGCGUUCUGUAAGCCUGCGAAGGUGGCCUGUGAGGGUUGCUGGAGGUAUCAGAAGUGCGAAUGCUGACAUAAGUAACGAUAAAGCGGGUGAAAAGCCCGCUCGCCGGAAGACCAA